This 854-nucleotide long non-coding RNA is filed under the name Heterocephalus glaber (naked mole-rat). RNAcentral describes it as "lncRNA (ENSHGLG00000034324.1)". Lineage: Eukaryota; Metazoa; Chordata; Mammalia; Rodentia; Bathyergidae. The record is from RNAcentral.
GGGAUCCGGAGAUGCCGGGGGGCUGACGGGUGAGAACGACAGGGAGCCGUAAGGGCUUCGUUGCCUCUGCCCACCAGGAAGCGCAGCUUUGAAAAAUUAGAAGGCAAGCAUCUAAUGGCGCAGAGACUUAAACAUAUAUCGCUGCUUUCGGGCUGAUAAGGGCCGUUUAAUCUUCUUUAUAAAGGCCGGCGCCAGAGCGGAGACCCGGAGCGCACAGGCGGCGCGAAAGACACCCGAGUGUUCUGUUUUCAGCCUCUGGUCGCUUCCCUCCCCGGGGGUGGCCCGCGGUCCAUAUUUACAAGUGUUCGCAGGAUUGGAUUGGAUUGUGACGCCGUGCUGCGACUGGAGGUUUGGAUUUUGAGCGAUGGACGCUGGCAUCCGAACUUGGAGUAUUCAUUCCCGCAGAAGGCCGAGAAAACACCAGCGCCGCGAGUGUAUAGACCCCUGUUUCUCCAGCAGGGGGCAGCUUGGGAUUCCCUGAGCAGCGGAUCGGAGGGGGAGGAGCCAGAAGUCACACAGUACCAGAUCCUACCACUAAGGUGGAUGAGGACACAGCAUCGUGUUUUUGACAAAAUAGCCAUAAACAUUUGGUCAAUGAGGAGUGACCAAAAGAUAGGGUAAGUAUUCAAACUUAAAAAUUUAUGACAGUAAAAGACAUUUCACUAAUCAUCUUCAGAUACUCAGAAUACUCCCCCUCGCUUUGAACUUGUGUAUCCCAUAGUUCUUGGGAAUGCGUCUUUCACUAUAAGUUUUUGGCUUUGAUCCCUGCUCAGCUCACUUCUCUUUCCCCUUUACAGCAAAGUUACUUGACACAGUGGCCUCUAUUGGCUCUCUGCACUUAUUUCUUCACCUCC